This 81-nucleotide small nucleolar RNA is filed under the name Mytilus galloprovincialis (Mediterranean mussel). The record is from RNAcentral. Lineage: Eukaryota; Metazoa; Mollusca; Bivalvia; Mytilida; Mytilidae.
CAGUGGUGAUGAAGUAAAGGACAUGGUUUCGCAUAUUUAUACUGAUAAUAAUUAUUACACCAACCUUGGCUGUCUGAACUG